GUGACAAGAGGGCGGGCGCCAGGCUUCCCCCCCCCCUCACGUGACGGGGCGCGGCGCUCGCGGCAGCGGCUUCUCCCUCCGCCAACCCCCCCCCCUCCCCGCCGCCGCCGCCGCCGCCAUGGACCCGGCCGGGAAGGAGAAGGAGGCGCUGCAGCUCCUGGCCGAGGCCGACAGGAAGGUCCGCGGCUCCCAGUCCUUCUUCGCGGGGCUCUUCGGGGGCUCCUCCAAGAUAGAAGAAGCAUGCGAUAUCUACGCCCGAGCAGCAAACAUGUUCAAAAUGGUCAAGAACUGGAGCGCUGCAGGGAACGCCUUCUGCCAGGCAGCACAGCUCCAUCUGCAGCUGCAGAGCAAGCAUGAUGCGGCCACCAACUUCGUGGAUGCUGGCAAUGCCUUCAAGAAAGCUGACCCACAAGAGGCCAUUAACUGUUUGAUCAGAGCUAUUGAGAUCUACACAGACAUGGGCCGAUUCACCAUCGCUGCCAAGCAUCACAUAUCGAUAGCGGAGAUCUAUGAGACGGAGCUGGUGGAUAUAGAAAAGGCGAUAGCCCAUUAUGAGCAAGCUGCUGAUUACUACAAAGGGGAAGAGUCCAACAGCUCUGCCAACAAAUGUUUACUGAAAGUGGCCACUUAUGCAGCCCAGCUGGAGCAGUACCAGAAAGCCAUUGAGAUCUACGAGCAGGUGGGCACUAAUGCGAUGGACAGUCCCCUGCUGAAGUACAGCGCUAAGGAGUAUUUCUUCAAGGCGGCCCUCUGCCACUUCUGCAUUGACAUGCUCAACGCAAAGCUGGCCAUACAGAAAUACGAAGAGAUGUUCCCAGCCUUCUCGGACUCCAGGGAGUGCAAACUGGUUAAAAAGUUGCUGGAAGCUCAUGAAGAACAGAACAUUGACAGCUACACUGACUCUGUAAGUGCAGUGGGGAGGGAAGCAUCUAAUGCAGCUCAGCACCGGAGAGAGACUGGUGUGAAGUGUCUGCUUGGGAAGCAAAUGUAGCAAUUGCAAAUGUGGGUGCGAGGAGUUCUUGUCAGAAUCAAGAAGGCUCAGCGUGCCUUGUGUGAUCGCUGUGCUAGCCAGUCCCAGGGUUGGUAGUGGAUUGCUCACUACAGUGUGUUCUCAAAGACUUAGUCCCAUCUUGCUGUAAAUUACCAGGCAGUAGGGCUCCUGUCCCUUCCUUGGUACAGACUAAUGGAUUGGGCAGUUAUUCUGCCUAACUUCUCUGUAGGGCUGUUACUAAUUUGCUCUUUCCCCUCCACCCACCUGGGGAGCCAUGACUUCUUUGUCCAGGCUCCUGUUAUGAGCUGCAAACUGUGCUGACACAUAUUGGCUUCAUCAGGAGUCUUACGAGCGUGGCACUUCUGCAGAUCAGCCCACAACAAGCUACAUGUGGGUUUACUUUUGGGGGUGGGGGGAUGAGGAGGGGAAAUUUUAAAUUUUCAGAACACCAGUUGGGUUAAAAACAUGGCACCUAGAAACAUUAAGGACUAAGGAGAACAUAGGGAAGAGAAGCUGGGUUUUACCAUGAGUGGAUUUUUCUUGUAGAAAUCCCAGGCUCCAAAGUGUAUUGAGUGCAAUGGUCUGUUUCCUGCUCCGUAGUGCUAACUAGCCUCCAGGUGAAUACUGCUGUGUGGUAGGUCACUCAUUCUGAUUCUCUCCCUGACCUUCCAGGUAAAGGAGUACGAUACCAUCUCACGGCUGGACCAGUGGCUUACCACCAUGCUCCUCCGUAUCAAGAAAACCAUCCAGGGCGAAGAGGAGGACCUACGUUAAACCCCGUCCCCUCCUUCCCUGUCACCAUCAACUCUUUCCUCCGCAGAAAUCUGCAUGGAUAUCUUUGGGGUGGGGAGGGUGGGGCCUGGAGGAGAAGGAUUCAGACUUCAGUGACUUAUUAUCCCUUGUCUCAUAACCCUUUUGCCCCACAACCCAAAGAGCAUAACUUCGUUUAACAAAGACAGGGCAUGCGGCUGUAACCACCUGCCUCAGCUGCUCUAGAGAUGACGUCUUGAAGUGACAUAGCUCGUUCCCCCUGGGCCAAACAGAUGACUUCCUGGUCCGCGGAGCUUCCCAACCUGCCUGCAGGCUCCUGCCCAGGUUUGAUGGUCUAACACCCUUCCCCAUCCCUCUUGUUCCCUCUUCAGAUAUUUAAUUGUAUGACAAUUAUUCUGUAUGAUUAAGAACUUAAACCUGCUUUCGCCCUGACUCACUUCACGCUGGUUUCAGAAGACAGCACAAAAUCAGUUUGUCUCCUAAUUCCUGCUGUUUAUAACAGAUCCUUUCUCACUGCCCCCUCUCCUGCCCCAGAUGUCUGAUGGAGCAGUUCUUGCCCAUCCCAGGCAGGGAUUUCAGACUCAGUACCAACGGGAGUGGGGAUGGGGAGAGUCUCUCCCUCACCCUUAACUUCUUCCCCUCCCUAGCCUGUGAUCGCAUCCCUGUAGGGGCUCAGAAACCUGAGUUUUGAGUAUCUCCAGCAAGCCCAGAACCCUGCUUUAGGCUGGGAGAUUUCAGGUGCAGCGACUUUCCCCCAUGGCCUGAGCUGUGAGAACAGGUUCUGCUACUCUCCACCCUCUCCUAGCCCCCAGAGAGCUGGAGAAUGUGGCAAGCACAAGCUGGCACUUCCUAUCUCCUGCUUAUUUCAGUGAAGAACUGUACAACCCUUGUCUAACAUCUUGGCAGCAAAUACUUCCCAGGGCACCCUCUCAAUCCCCAGAGCUCUACAAGGAGCUGACAGGAAGUGUCACUUCGCUCUGUAUCACAAUUAUCUCCUUUCCCGUUUCUCAUUGUUAGCACAUGCUAACUUGAUAACCCCAUUUCUUCCCCCUGCCCACAGGGCUGUAGUGCUGCUCUAUGGCCAGCUGUUAAGGGGCAUCAGACACUGUGUCAUUCACGUGCAGCCAAAAGAGGCGAGAGCUGGACUGGACAGUCAUUCCCACACCACGUGGGUAGCCAAAAAUAUUCUGUGCUUCUGGUAUAUUAGUAACCUUAGCAAACCCUUCUGAGGUGACUGUUUGUUUAAUUUAAUCCCAUCUCAGAUUAGGCAGUGGAAGACUCUACAGCGUGGGUGAAUUCUGUGCGCAGCAGGCCAUUUGCUGCAGUAGGCAUGGCACCUGGUUGGAAGGGAACAUUACUCCCAUUCAGUAUUGUGUGCGUACAGUAUGUGUUGCCAUAAAGGUUUUUAUUUCUGGGUUAUUCUCUCUUGGUUUUGAAAUCUAGCCCAAGAGGGGUGGGGCCUGGGUAGCUCAGGGUUUACCCUGCAGUAAUCCCUACUUCUGUAUUGUUUGUUGAAAGAAAGAGGAAGUCUUGCUGCAUGUUUUAAUGUCAACAGAAAGCGACUCUUGCUGAGUGUAAUGAAAAAUUGCACAACAAAAAUAAAAACUUUGCAUGAGCA
Molecule: RNA transcript, 3380 nt
Organism: Dermochelys coriacea (leatherback sea turtle)
Lineage: Eukaryota; Metazoa; Chordata; Testudines; Dermochelyidae
Gene: NAPA
Gene name: NSF attachment protein alpha
Exons: 11
Source: RefSeq, a predicted model, not a curated record